Molecule: ribosomal RNA, 493 nt
Filed under: uncultured bacterium
Lineage: Bacteria
Description: partial 16S ribosomal RNA
Rfam family: Bacterial small subunit ribosomal RNA
Source: RNAcentral
GACGAACGCUGGCGGCGUGCUUAACACAUGCAAGUCGAACGCUGAAGCCCUUUCGGGGGUGGAUGAGUGGCGAACGGGUGAGUAACACGUGGGUAAUCUGCCCUGUACUUCGGGAUAAGCCUUGGAAACGGGGUCUAAUACCGGAUAGGACCUGUCCUCGCAUGGGGGUGGGUGGAAAGUUCCGGCGGUAUGGGAUGAGCCCGCGGCCUAUCAGCGUGUUGGUGGGGUAGUGGCCUACCAAGGCGACGACGGGUAGCCGGCCCGAGAGGGUGACCGGUCACACUGGGACUGAGACACGGCCCAGACUCCUACGGGAGGCAGCAGUGGGGAAUCUUGCGCAAUGGGCGAAAGCCUGACGCAGCAACGCCGCGUGGGGGAUGACGGCCUUCGGGUUGUAAACCUCUUUCGACAUCGACGAAGGGGCCCUGUUGUGGGGUUUUGACGGUAGGUGUAGAAGAGGCACCGGCUAACUACGUGCCAGCCGCCGCCGUAA